RNAcentral lists this transfer RNA (72 nucleotides) under Jaapia argillacea MUCL 33604. RNAcentral's name for it is "tRNA-Arg (TCG) (tRNA-Arg-TCG-2-1)". It matches the Rfam family "tRNA". From Rfam's summary of the family: Transfer RNA (tRNA) molecules are approximately 80 nucleotides in length. Their secondary structure includes four short double-helical elements and three loops (D, anti-codon, and T loops). The record is from RNAcentral. Lineage: Eukaryota; Fungi; Basidiomycota; Agaricomycetes; Jaapiales; Jaapiaceae.
GGCUACCUGGCGCAAUGGUAGCGUGUUUGGCUUCGAACCAAAAGGUUGCAGGUUCGAGUCCUGCGGUGGUCA